AAGGGUCUCGCGAUCCCCGCGGUCCAGGGCGUGGACAAGCGCCGAGGCGCCCGUGUGGUCUCGAACUGAGGGGUCUGCGCCGUGGGCAAGGAGCAGCGACGCCACUGCGGCUCCUCCACCCCCAGCGCAAGCGUGCAUGAGCGCAGUACGCCCUAGGCGGUCUGCGAUGUUGGGGUCUGCACCUUGCUCCAGAAGGAAUGAACUUGUGUCCAGCUGGAGGGCAUCAGAGGGAAAUGCGGGAUGAGGAAAAUAUCCUUUGGAUUCGGAAAACUCACCUGAGACCAUUCAGAAGCUGGAGGACACUAGCCACAAGGAGUUCCCUCAACAGUCCGUCGGUGAGAUCUGAGGUCAGGCUUCUCCAUCCGAGAUGAAAUCGUAAAUAACGGACUCUUGGUUGAUUUUGCAACCCCAUCUCUCUCAGCUCCCGGC
This is a long non-coding RNA of Pteronotus mesoamericanus, 429 nucleotides long. RefSeq lists it as uncharacterized. The transcript is spliced from 3 exons. The record is from RefSeq and is a predicted model, not a curated record. NCBI's taxonomy places the organism in Eukaryota, Metazoa, Chordata, Mammalia, Chiroptera, Mormoopidae.